GAUGCGACCUCAGCUCAGGCGGGGCCACCCGCUGAGUUUAAGCAUAUCAAUAAGCGGAGA
This 60-nucleotide ribosomal RNA is filed under the name Gilbertiodendron sp. ME-2015. RNAcentral's name for it is "partial 26S ribosomal RNA". Lineage: Eukaryota; Viridiplantae; Streptophyta; Magnoliopsida; Fabales; Fabaceae. The record is from RNAcentral.